This 417-nucleotide ribosomal RNA is filed under the name Ixodida sp. RNAcentral's name for it is "partial large subunit ribosomal RNA". The record is from RNAcentral. Lineage: Eukaryota; Metazoa; Arthropoda; Arachnida; Ixodida.
UUGCUACAAGGCCCGAAAUAAGAUUUUAAUUGAAUGCUAAAAGAAUGGAAAUUUAAAAAAAAACUUUUUUAAAAAUAAAAAUUGAAUUUUUUUUAAUUUGUGCAAAAACAAUUAUAUUUAUUAAAGACAAGAAGACCCUAAGAAUUUAAGAUUUUACAAUUAAAAAGUUUUUUUUUAAAAACUUGGUUGGGGGGAACCAAAAAAAUUAAAAACUUUUUAAAAAUUAAAUUGGUCUUUUUUUAAUAAACUAAUGAAUUAAAUACUCUAGGGGUAACAGGGGAAUAAUUUUUGAUAAAACUUAUUGACAAAAAAAUUUGCGACCCCGAUGUUGGAUUAAGAAUCUUUUUUAAAGAAAAAAAUAAAAAAAAAAAAUUGUUCCACUUUUAAAAUCCCACUUGAACUGAGUUCCCACCGGGG